Molecule: non-coding RNA, 78 nt
Filed under: unclassified sequences
Description: Termite-leu RNA
Rfam family: Termite-leu RNA
Source: RNAcentral
GACGAAAGGGCGCGAUAAAUCGCGCCCUUUCAUAGAUAGUUCGGGGGCUAAACCCCCGAACUUCAGUCAAAAUCAAAG